GGGCCAACCACUCCCAGCCUAUGCGGGAGCUGCCCUGCCCACUCCCUGGAGGAGCUGGGGUCUUGGCAGGGCUCAGCCUUCUGAAGAGGAGAGAGGGACAGUGCGGGGAGGGACUGGGAGGGAAGGAGCUGAGGGAGCCGGAGAUGGAGUUGGGCUCUUUGGGGCCAAGCUGGUGUGUGCUAGGCAGCUGCCUGCCCCUGCCCCCUUCAGCCCGGGCACCUGCCCACAGCACUCGCAGUGUCCGGCCACCAGCUGCAGCCGGAGGAGCCAGACUUGGAGACAGAAGAGGAUGCCUCUGUAAGUUACCCACCCCAGACAUCCACCCAUCCUCACCUGGUGGAGCCGUAAGGGCUGAAGGUAACUCCCUGUCUCUUCCUGUCAGGUGACUGAGGGGCCUGCAGGGGAGGUCAUCCGGCCCCGGCCACAGGGCUCUUCACCCAUCUAUGAAUGCUCGACAGAGGGGGCCGGCCCUGGAGUCCAGGACGACAUUGCCAGCAGGCAAGGGUCCCUGGGGAGACGGAGAUCCUGGUGGAAGCGAGACUCAGGAGACUCGAGGACCUUCUCCAGCAUGAGUCGCCCAGAGCCUGUGCAGGAGGCAACCGAGGUGACACUCAAGACGGAGGUGGAGGCGGGAGCCAGUGGUUACAGCGUCACAGGUGGCGGUGACCAGGGGAUCUUUGUCAAGCAAGUACUGAAAGACUCCUCUGCAGCCAAGCUCUUCAGCCUGAGAGAAGGCGACCAGCUGCUCAGUGCCACCAUAUUCUUUGAUGACAUUAAAUACGAGGAUGCACUCAAGAUCCUGCAGUACUCAGAGCCAUACAAGGUGCAGUUCCAGAUCAAACGGAAGCUGCCUGCCUCCGAGGAUAAGGGCGGGGCUCUCCGAAGCUCCCAGCACGAGUCUGUGGCCUCGGGGAAGCAGGAAAAAGAUGUUGCAGACGGGUGUGCAGAGACACCCAAGAAGACCCUGGAGGAGGACGGAGACCAGGAGAGACUCAUCGCCAAGCCCAGGGAGACCCGAGGCAGAAAGGCUCGGGAAAGACUCUCAUGGCCCAAGUUCCAGGGCAUGAAGGGCAAGCAGGGACCAGGACCCCGGCGCUCACACAGCUCCUCGGAGGCCCAGGAGCGUGGCAGUGCUCGGGAGCUGUCCCCCACCAGUACAGACACAGAGGUCCAGUGCUCAGGAGAUCAUGGGGAGCAGAGUGCAGGACGAGACGGACAGAAGAGGAGGAGGAGAUUCCCAAGCCUGAGGUUCAGGAAGGGCUCCAGGCAGGACCCACCCAUCAUGGGGCGCCAGGACAGAGAGGUGCUUGGGGAACCGGACAGCACCAGGAAGCUGGAGGACACAUGGGCGGGUGGCACAGAGGCACAAAAGGCCAGACAGGUGUUGACCACGGUGCAGGAUGCAGAGCCUAGCUCCCUUGGACACUGGGAAGGGGCCACAGUGAGGCAACAAAGGAAGACAAAGCAGGUUAAGCCCACAGCGGGGGAGACCGCAGGUGAAGAAGCCAGAGCUGGGCCUGCCCUGGAUGAUGAAAGGGAAGAACCGCAGGGCCUGACAAAAAAGAUCACGGCAGUGUCACUCAGGGGCACAGAAAGCACACUGAGACGAACAGAAGAAAUCCAUGUCAGAAUACGCGACUUAAAGACACCUACAUUUACAUUUCCCAGGGAGAAGGUGCCAGGGACAGAAGACAAGACCUGGCGAAGGGCGGAGGAGAGGAGGGAAACUGCAUGGGUAGGCAGGGCAGGAACCCAGGCUGAAGGACAAGCAGAAGCUGACCAACAGGACAAGGAACCGGGAACCUCAGGAGGGAUGGGAAGGAGCCAAGAAAGAGAACUUGGGGAGACAGAACUGAGGGGAACACAGCCUGGCCAAGGGGAAGACAGGGACAAGGAGAGGGGAGAACUAAAGACCAAACUGCCCAGGUUCAAAAUGCUGGCAUUCGGGUGGUCACCAGCAAAGGAGGCAACUAGACACAUGAGAAAUGAUAUCAGAGAAAAAGAAGAAAUCUCAGGGACACUGGAAACAACUGAGGUGGGGGGCAGGGGACACAAAUCAGAAGGGAAGGACCCCAAGGGAGAGCUGGGCGGCCUGCAGCUAGAGGAGGCUCUGCCCAGCAUGAAUGUGGACGUCCAGGGCGCAGGAAGCAAGCUGGAGGGGGAGGUGGCCACCAAGGACGGCAAGUUCAAGAUGCCCAAGUUCAAGAUGCCCUCCUUUGGCAUGUCGGGACCCGGCAAGUCAAUCGAGGCCUCGCUGGAAGUGUCCACACCGAAGGUGGACGCCGAGGUGGCCCUGUCCACCAUUCAAGCUGACCUGAAGAGCCCUGAGGCCGGCACACAGCAGCCCUCCACCGACAUGGAAAUGUCAGCCGGCCAGGUGGCUGUGAAGGUGCCAGAGGUGGAGCUGCCCGCCGCGAGCACGGGUGCCAGCCUGAAAAGCCACCUGCCGAAGGUGCAGAUGCCCUGCAUCAAGAUGCCCAAAGUGGAACUCAAGGGCCCCCAGGUUGAUGUGAAGGGCCCCAAGGCGGAAGCGAAGGGCCCCAAGGGUGAGCUGAGCGGCCCCGAGCUGGAGGUGGCGCUGCCUAUUGUGGACGUGGACGUCCAGGCCCCUGGCCACAAGCUGGAGGGUGAGGUGUCCACGAAGGACAGCAAGUUGAAAAUGCCCAAGUUCAAGAUGCCCUCCUUUGGUGUGUCGGCAUCCGGCAAGGCCAUCGAGGCCUCGUUGGAGGCAUCAACACGGAAGCUGGAGGCCGAGGUGGCCCUGCCCGCCAUUCAAGGUGACCUGAAGAGCCCUGAGCCCGGCGCUCAGCAGCCCCCCAGCGGUGUGGAUUUCCCGGCCGUGCAGGCAGCCGCGAAGCUGCCCGAGGGUGAGCUGCCCUCUGUGAGCACGGGUGCCAGCCUGAAAGGCCACCUUCCCAAGGUGCAGAUGCCCAGCCUCAAGAUGCCCAAAGUGGAACUCAAGGGCCCCCAGGUUGAGGUGAAGGACCCCAAGGCGGAAGUGAAGGUCCCUAAGGGCGAGCUGAGCGGUCCUGAGCUGGAGGCAGCCGUGCCCAGCGGGGAGGUGGACAUCCAGGCCACCGGCGGCAAGCUGGAGGGGGAGGUGGCCACCAAGGACGGCAAGUUCAAGAUGCCCAAGUUCAAGAUGCCCUCCUUUGGGGUUUCGGCACCCGGCAAGUCCAUCGAGGCCUCGCUGGAGGUGUCCGCGUCCAAGCUAGAGGCUGAGGUGGCCCUCCCGGCCAUCCAAGGUGACCUGAAGAGGCCUGAGGCACACGCUCAGCUGCCCACCACUGACGUGGAACUGCCGGCCGGUCAGCUGGCUGUGAAGGUGCCCGAGGGCGAUCUGGCCGAGGAGGAGAUGCCCGCAGCACUCGGGGGUGCCAGCCUGAAAGGCCACCUGCCCAAGGUGCAGAUGCCCAGCCUCAAGAUGCCUAGCGUGGAACUCAAGGGCCCCCAUGUGGACGUUAAAGGCCCCAAGGUGGACGUGAAGGUCCCUAAGACGGAGGUGAAGGGGCCCACGGGUGAGCCGAGCGGCCCCGAGCUGGAGGCGGCACUGCCCAGCAUGGAGGUGGACGUCCAGGCCCCAAGUGGCCAUCUUGAAGUUGAGGUGGCCGCCAAGGACAGCAAGUUCAAGAUGCCCAAGUUCAAGAUGCCCUCCUUUGGCAUGUCGGGACCCGGCAAGUCAAUCGAGGCCUCGCUGGAAGUGUCCACACCGAAGGUGGAGGCCGAGGUGGCCCUGCCCACCAUUCAAGCUGACCUGAAGAGCCCUGAGGCCGGCACACAGCAGCCCUCCACCGACGUGGAAAUGCCAGCCGGCCAGGUGGCUGUGAAGGUGCCAGAGGUGGAGGUGCCCGCCGCAAGCACGGGUGCCAGCCUGAAAGGCCACCUGCCCAAGGUGCAGAUGCCCAGCAUCAAGAUGCCCAAAGUGGAACUCAAGGGCCCCCAGGUUGAUGUGAAGGGCCCCAAGGCGGAAGCGAAGGGCCCCAAGGGUGAGCUGAGCGGCCCCGAGCUGGAGGUGGCGCUGCCUAUUGUGGACGUGGACGUCCAGGCCCCUGGCCACAAGCUGGAGGGUGAGGUGUCCACGAAGGACAGCAAGUUGAAAAUGCCCAAGUUCAAGAUGCCCUCCUUUGGUGUGUCGGCAUCCGGCAAGGCCAUCGAGGCCUCGUUGGAGGCAUCAACACGGAAGCUGGAGGCUGAGGUGGCCCUGCCCGCCAUUCAAGGUGACCUGAAGAGCCCUGAGCCCGGCGCUCAGCAGCCCCCCAGCGGUGUGGAUUUCCCGGCCGUGCAGGCAGCCGCGAAGCUGCCCGAGGGUGAGCUGCCCUCUGCGAGCACGGGUGCCAGCCUGAAAGGCCACCUUCCCAAGGUGCAGAUGCCCAGCCUCAAGAUGCCCAAAGUGGAACUCAAGGGCCCCCAGGUUGAGGUGAAGGACCCCAAGGCGGAAGUGAAGGUCCCCAAGGGCGAGCUGAGCGGUCCUGAGCUGGAGGCAGCCGUGCCCAGCGGGGAGGUGGACAUCCAGGCCACCGGCGGCAAGCUGGAGGGGGAGGUGGCCACCAAGGACGGCAAGUUCAAGAUGCCCAAGUUCAAGAUGCCCUCCUUUGGGGUUUCGGCACCCGGCAAGUCCAUCGAGGCCUCGCUGGAGGUGUCCGCGUCCAAGCUAGAGGCUGAGGUGGCCCUCCCGGCCAUCCAAGGUGACCUGAAGAGGCCUGAGGCACACGCUCAGCUGCCCACCACUGACGUGGAACUGCCGGCCGGUCAGCUGGCUGUGAAGGUGCCCGAGGGCGAUCUGGCCGAGGAGGAGAUGCCCGCAGCACUCGGGGGUGCCAGCCUGAAAGGCCACCUGCCCAAGGUGCAGAUGCCCAGCCUCAAGAUGCCUAGCGUGGAACUCAAGGGCCCCCAUGUGGACGUUAAAGGCCCCAAGGUGGACGUGAAGGUCCCUAAGACGGAGGUGAAGGGGCCCAUGGGUGAGCCGAGCGGCCCCGAGCUGGAGGCGGCACUGCCCAGCAUGGAGGUGGACGUCCAGGCCCCAAGUGGCCAUCUUGAAGUUGAGGUGGCCGCCAAGGACAGCAAGUUCAAGAUGCCCAAGUUCAAGAUGCCCUCCUUUGGCAUGUCGGGACCCGGCAAGUCAAUCGAGGCCUCGCUGGAAGUGUCCACACCGAAGGUGGAGGCCGAGGUGGCCCUGCCCACCAUUCAAGGUGACCUGAAGAGCCCUGAGGCCGGCACACAGCAGCCCUCCACCGACGUGGAAAUGCCAGCCGGCCAGGUGGCUGUGAAGGUGCCAGAGGUGGAGGUGCCCGCCGCAAGCACGGGUGCCAGCCUGAAAGGCCACCUGCCCAAGGUGCAGAUGCCCAGCAUCAAGAUGCCCAAAGUGGAACUCAAGGGCCCCCAGGUUGAUGUGAAGGGCCCCAAGGCGGAAGCGAAGGGCCCCAAGGGUGAGCUGAGCGGCCCCGAGCUGGAGGUGGCGCUGCCUAUUGUGGACGUGGACGUCCAGGCCCCUGGCCACAAGCUGGAGGGUGAGGUGUCCACGAAGGACAGCAAGUUGAAAAUGCCCAAGUUCAAGAUGCCCUCCUUUGGUGUGUCGGCAUCCGGCAAGGCCAUCGAGGCCUCGUUGGAGGCAUCAACACGGAAGCUGGAGGCCGAGGUGGCCCUGCCCGCCAUUCAAGGUGACCUGAAGAGCCCUGAGCCCGGCGCUCAGCAGCCCCCCAGCGGUGUGGAUUUCCCGGCCGUGCAGGCAGCCGCGAAGCUGCCCGAGGGUGAGCUGCCCUCUGCGAGCACGGGUGCCAGCCUGAAAGGCCACCUUCCCAAGGUGCAGAUGCCCAGCCUCAAGAUGCCCAAAGUGGAACUCAAGGGCCCCCAGGUUGAGGUGAAGGACCCCAAGGCGGAAGUGAAGGUCCCCAAGGGCGAGCUGAGCGGUCCUGAGCUGGAGGCAGCCGUGCCCAGCGGGGAGGUGGACAUCCAGGCCACCGGCGGCAAGCUGGAGGGGGAGGUGGCCACCAAGGACGGCAAGUUCAAGAUGCCCAAGUUCAAGAUGCCCUCCUUUGGGGUUUCGGCACCCGGCAAGUCCAUCGAGGCCUCGCUGGAGGUGUCCGCGUCCAAGCUAGAGGCUGAGGUGGCCCUCCCGGCCAUCCAAGGUGACCUGAAGAGGCCUGAGGCACACGCUCAGCUGCCCACCACUGACGUGGAACUGCCGGCCGGUCAGCUGGCUGUGAAGGUGCCCGAGGGCGAUCUGGCCGAGGAGGAGAUGCCCGCAGCACUCGGGGGUGCCAGCCUGAAAGGCCACCUGCCCAAGGUGCAGAUGCCCAGCCUCAAGAUGCCUAGCGUGGAACUCAAGGGCCCCCAUGUGGACGUUAAAGGCCCCAAGGUGGACGUGAAGGUCCCUAAGACGGAGGUGAAGGGGCCCACGGGUGAGCCGAGCGGCCCCGAGCUGGAGGCGGCACUGCCCAGCAUGGAGGUGGACGUCCAGGCCCCAAGUGGCCAGCUUGAAGUUGAGGUGGCCGCCAAGGACAGCAAGUUCAAGAUGCCCAAGUUCAAGAUGCCCUCCUUUGGCAUGUCGGGACCCGGCAAGUCAAUCGAGGCCUCGCUGGAAGUGUCCACACCGAAGGUGGAGGCCGAGGUGGCCCUGCCCACCAUUCAAGCUGACCUGAAGAGCCCUGAGGCCGGCACACAGCAGCCCUCCACCGACGUGGAAAUGCCAGCCGGCCAGGUGGCUGUGAAGGUGCCAGAGGUGGAGGUGCCCGCCGCAAGCACGGGUGCCAGCCUGAAAGGCCACCUGCCCAAGGUGCAGAUGCCCAGCAUCAAGAUGCCCAAAGUGGAACUCAAGGGCCCCCAGGUUGAUGUGAAGGGCCCCAAGGCGGAAGCGAAGGGCCCCAAGGGUGAGCUGAGCGGCCCCGAGCUGGAGGUGGCGCUGCCUAUUGUGGACGUGGACGUCCAGGCCCCUGGCCACAAGCUGGAGGGUGAGGUGUCCACGAAGGACAGCAAGUUGAAAAUGCCCAAGUUCAAGAUGCCCUCCUUUGGUGUGUCGGCAUCCGGCAAGGCCAUCGAGGCCUCGUUGGAGGCAUCAACACGGAAGCUGGAGGCCGAGGUGGCCCUGCCCGCCAUUCAAGGUGACCUGAAGAGCCCUGAGCCCGGCGCUCAGCAGCCCCCCAGCGGUGUGGAUUUCCCGGCCGUGCAGGCAGCCGCGAAGCUGCCCGAGGGUGAGCUGCCCUCUGCGAGCACGGGUGCCAGCCUGAAAGGCCACCUUCCCAAGGUGCAGAUGCCCAGCCUCAAGAUGCCCAAAGUGGAACUCAAGGGCCCCCAGGUUGAGGUGAAGGACCCCAAGGCGGAAGUGAAGGUCCCCAAGGGCGAGCUGAGCGGUCCUGAGCUGGAGGCAGCCGUGCCCAGCGGGGAGGUGGACAUCCAGGCCACCGGCGGCAAGCUGGAGGGGGAGGUGGCCACCAAGGACGGCAAGUUCAAGAUGCCCAAGUUCAAGAUGCCCUCCUUUGGGGUUUCGGCACCCGGCAAGUCCAUCGAGGCCUCGCUGGAGGUGUCCGCGUCCAAGCUAGAGGCUGAGGUGGCCCUCCCGGCCAUCCAAGGUGACCUGAAGAGGCCUGAGGCACACGCUCAGCUGCCCACCACUGACGUGGAACUGCCGGCCGGUCAGCUGGCUGUGAAGGUGCCCGAGGGCGAUCUGGCCGAGGAGGAGAUGCCCGCAGCACUCGGGGGUGCCAGCCUGAAAGGCCACCUGCCCAAGGUGCAGAUGCCCAGCCUCAAGAUGCCUAGCGUGGAACUCAAGGGCCCCCAUGUGGACGUUAAAGGCCCCAAGGUGGACGUGAAGGUCCCUAAGACGGAGGUGAAGGGGCCCACGGGUGAGCCGAGCGGCCCCGAGCUGGAGGCGGCACUGCCCAGCAUGGAGGUGGACGUCCAGGCCCCAAGUGGCCAGCUUGAAGUUGAGGUGGCCGCCAAGGACAGCAAGUUCAAGAUGCCCAAGUUCAAGAUGCCCUCCUUUGGCAUGUCGGGACCCGGCAAGUCAAUCGAGGCCUCGCUGGAAGUGUCCACACCGAAGGUGGAGGCCGAGGUGGCCCUGCCCACCAUUCAAGCUGACCUGAAGAGCCCUGAGGCCGGCACACAGCAGCCCUCCACCGACGUGGAAAUGCCAGCCGGCCAGGUGGCUGUGAAGGUGCCAGAGGUGGAGGUGCCCGCCGCAAGCACGGGUGCCAGCCUGAAAGGCCACCUGCCCAAGGUGCAGAUGCCCAGCAUCAAGAUGCCCAAAGUGGAACUCAAGGGCCCCCAGGUUGAUGUGAAGGGCCCCAAGGCGGAAGCGAAGGUUCCCAAGGGUGAGCUGAGCGGCCCCGAGCUGGAGGUGGCGCUGCCUAUUGUGGACGUGGACGUCCAGGCCCCUGGCCACAAGCUGGAGGGUGAGGUGUCCACGAAGGACAGCAAGUUGAAAAUGCCCAAGUUCAAGAUGCCCUCCUUUGGCAUGUCGGGACCUGGCAAGUCAAUCGAGGCCUCGCUGGAAUUGUCCACACCGAAGUUGGAAGCCGAGGUGGCCCUGUCCACCAUUCAAGGUGACCUGAAGAGCCCUGAGACUGGCGCUCAGCUUCCCUCUGCUGAUGUUGACCUGCAUUCUGGCCAGUCGGCCGUGAAGCUGCCUGAAGCCGCCCUCCCGGUGUCAGAGCUGCUCCCUUCUGAUGGUGGCACUGAGAAUGCUGUCUUCUCUGGUGGUGUUACAGGAUCCUCUGUUGUUCUUCCUUUGAUGAGUGAGACUCUCACCCAGUUCCAUGGUCCUGCGCUUUCUCCUCCACAACAUGGUGCUCCACAACAUGGUGCUUCCGAAUCCUUAUCUGUGGCUCCCUAUGUGGCGCUGUGGUCCUCUGGGUUUCCCCAGUCUGAGGAGCCUCCUCCAGCCCACCCCAGUGGCCACCCAACCCCUCCUCUGUCCCCUCCCACUGUGACUUUCCCUAAAUUCCACAAACCACGCUUCAUGGUUUCUGUCCCGCUCACAGUGGUUCCUGAGGGAGACUCUGGCAUUGCUGUCCAGGGUGCAGUCCUGCCCCAUGGCCAGGCCCCAGGGCAGGAUGCCUUGGCUCCUGAAGUGCAUGUGUCCCACCUGACAGGCUUCCCAGUGGCACCUGGGGCUGCACCUAUGUCCGAGAUCAUAGAGCAGCCUCUGAGCCUGUCUGUAGGAGCUGCCGUUGCAGAAGGUCCUGAGGGGGAGUGGGCUGGGAGUCCCUCCAAACGCAAUCGCUUUAAGUUGCCGUUGUUCAGCCGGUCACCUAAGAAGGAGGCCAAGUCAGCAGGGGACAGCUUGUGCCACCUGGAGGACCCCUCAGGUAGCCUAACUGUGGAUCUGGAUCAUGAAGACUCCCAACCUGGGGUUCAGGGCUCCCACAUGGAGGCACACAUAGCCCUGCCUCCAGGGAAGGAAGGAGACUCAGAGAGAACCAGAAAGGUUGGCUUCAGCCUCCCAAGGCUGGCCCUUCCCAAACUAAAGGUGUCACAAGGGUCGCGCUGGCCCAGUCCCUAGGGCGACAUAGAUACU
Molecule: long non-coding RNA, 9511 nt
Organism: Cavia porcellus (domestic guinea pig)
Lineage: Eukaryota; Metazoa; Chordata; Mammalia; Rodentia; Caviidae
Source: Ensembl